CCCGCAGCAAUGCGGGAGCGACCGGCGCACGGGUGCGUAACGCGUAUGUAACCUGCCCUCAGCAGGGGGAUAGCCCGUGGAAACAUGGAUUAAUACCCCAUAAAGCAGGGGUGUCGCAUGGCACUAUUUGCUAAAGUUUCGAGCAAUCGAUAUGGCUGAGGAUGGGCAUGCGUCUGAUUAGCUAGUUGGUAGGGUAACGGCCUACCAAGGCUACGAUCAGUAGGGGAUCUGAGAGGAUGAUCCCCCACACUGGUACUGAGAUACGGACCAGACUCCUACGGGAGGCAGCAGUAGGGAAUAUUGGGCAAUGGGCGAAAGCCUGACCCAGCCAUGCCGCGUGCAGGAUGAAGGCCUUCUGGGUUGUAAACUGCUUUUCUACGGGAAGAAACGCUCUCUGCGGGGAGAAUUGACGGUACCGUAGGAAUAAGCACCGGCUAACUCCGUGCCAGCAGCCGCGGUAAUACGGAGGGUGCAAGCGUUGUCCGGAUUUACUGGGUUUAAAGGGUGCGUAGGUGGAUUGUUAAGUCAGUGGUGAAAGCCUGCGGCUUAACCGCAGAAGUGCCAUUGAUACUGGCAAUCUUGAGUGUAGUGGAGGUAGGC
This 600-nucleotide ribosomal RNA is filed under the name uncultured bacterium. Its description in RNAcentral is "bacterial SSU rRNA". It matches the Rfam family "Bacterial small subunit ribosomal RNA", at positions 73 to 662 of the family's 1533-position model. The record is from RNAcentral.